Molecule: long non-coding RNA, 1017 nt
Filed under: Sorghum bicolor (sorghum)
Lineage: Eukaryota; Viridiplantae; Streptophyta; Magnoliopsida; Poales; Poaceae
Description: long non-coding RNA (SBIC_LNC013615)
Source: RNAcentral
GUUAGUCUUUUGGUUUUUGGCAUGUGUGCCAUAGUAGUUUAAAGUCGAGUUGCUAUGUAAGUUGUUGUAAAUAUUUUCUGUUUUUCUUUUUUCUCGUCUAAUAAAAAUACGGCAAAGCUCUUGCCGCCUUUCAAAAAAAAAAAAAAAAAAAAAAGAAAUGGGUUACGAACCGCUUGUAAAGAGCUUUUUCUGUGUAGCUAGCUAGGUAUGAUUUCCCUGUGCGCCAUCGUGAAGUGAAUAUAGUUAGAUCUAAACUGAAUUUCAGGAUGUGAAUAAUUAAAGUCUUGCUAAUGAAUGUUAGUCAAAGCCAUGGACGAUUUAUGAUUCCCCUUGUUUACGGGCCUCUCCAACAGUUAGCUAUUUAGCUAGCUAUUAGGAUAGUCCUAAUGCUAGAAACUACAUAUAUAUAGUUCUAUACCUAUUAAUUUUUAUAGGCACUAUAUAUAGAAACUAUAGUUCCAAUGGUUUCUAUAGAAUAAUUUUUUAUCCACUCACAUUCAUUCUUUCUCUAUUCUCAUACAAUCAUAUCACUUCAUGUCUUGGAUCUCGUGUAGACAUCGUUCCUAACUUUGACCUGGUUUCUAUAAUUUUUACUCUCUCUCUUCAAUAACUACCAUACCACACCAGCAAAAUACUUAGGUGACACUACAAUUAAUGUCUAUAGAAACUAUGCUGAUUUAUAUAUUUAGAGUGCCCUUAUGACAUAGAUAGUAAAAAAGAUAGAAGAGAAAGUUGUCACUAGAGACAAACAAAUACCUAAUCUAUUUAAUGCAGUCUAAGAACCUGUAACAUGUGAGUCUAAUAGUACAUAGAAAAAUAAAAAUAUAUAAAAUAGUCUUUUCUUUUGUCUCUCAUCUACAUGUCACCUAGCUACCUAACUAGCACCGUUGCAGACGUCGGGAAACCAUUAUUAUUACAUCAGGCCAUGACGAAAGGUGCUUUGUGCCAGAUUUCUCUUUGCUGCUGCUCUGAAUUGCGCACACCAAAACAGAAGAAUGGCAAGCGAUCACCGUCACG